CCUACGGGAGGCUGCAGUGAGGAAUAUUGGUCAAUGGUCGGGAGACUGAACCAGCCAAGCCGCGUGAGGGAGGAAGGUACAGAGUAUCGUAAACCUCUUUUGUCAGGGAACAAAGGCGGGGACGUGUCCCCGGCUGAGUGUACCUGAAGAAAAAGCAUCGGCUAACUCCGUGCCAGCAGCCGCGGUAAUACGGAGGAUGCGAGCGUUAUCCGGAUUUAUUGGGUUUAAAGGGUGCGCAGGCGGUCUGUUAAGUCAGCGGUCAAAGCCCGGGGCUCAACCCCGGCCCGCCGUUGAAACUGGCAGUCUCGAGUUGGAGAGAAGUAGGCGGAAUGCGCGGUGUAGCGGUGAAAUGCAUAGAUAUCGCGCAGAACUCCGAUUGCGAAGGCAGCAUGCCGGCUCCACACUGACGCUGAGGCACGAAAGCGUGGGUAUCGAACAGGAUUAGAUACCCCAGUAGUC
Molecule: ribosomal RNA, 459 nt
Filed under: uncultured bacterium
Lineage: Bacteria
Description: partial 16S ribosomal RNA
Rfam family: Bacterial small subunit ribosomal RNA
Source: RNAcentral